This is an RNA transcript of Ziziphus jujuba (common jujube), 2476 nucleotides long. It is a transcript of the gene named outer envelope protein 64, mitochondrial, with no coding region annotated. Lineage: Eukaryota; Viridiplantae; Streptophyta; Magnoliopsida; Rosales; Rhamnaceae. The record is from RefSeq and is a predicted model, not a curated record. The transcript has 14 exons.
GCCGGCGCACGAUAUCACGAUUCCCCAUUUUCAUCAAAACAAAAGGCACAAAAAUGACUCAUUUCUAAAACCCUUCGAAAAACCCUUUAAAAUUCUCGCUUUGCCCGUUUGCUGAACCAGAGAGAAAGAAAAAGCCAAAGCAUCUCCAUCAUUUUCUUAUUCUCCGGCGAACCUAUCUCCGUCCGUUCCGUCAUGUGGAAGCCAAUAGAGGCCGUGAAGGCCAGUGCUUCAUCCCACCCAAAGACCUGGAUUGCCAUCGGAAUCGGCGUCGCCGGGAUCGUAAUCCUCGCCGAGACUCACCGCCGCCGUCGGAGAACGAGUGCUCGGUUGAUUCACAAGGAGGAUUUCGGUGCUUUUCUUGAGCGAUUUGAGCUCCUUCCUUUCCCUCAGCCUCCUCCUCCCGCUGCUAGACAAUCCCUUGCUGGCUUAACCUUCGCCAUCAACGACAUAUUUGAAGUGAAGGGGUACUUGACGGGUUUUGGAAGUCCGGAUUGGCAGAGAACGCAUGAGGCAGCAGGGAAGACGGCAUUGGUGGUGACUGCUUUGUUGAAGAAUGGAGCUACUUGUGUUGGAAGGACGAUCAUGGACGAGCUCGCUUUUGGGAUAACAGGGGAGAAUAAGUAUUUUGGUACUCCCAUUAACCCACAAGUACCAUCGUGCAUUCCCGGUGGUUCGUCCAGUGGUUCCGCUGUGGCUGUUGCGGCUGGCCUAGUAGAUUUUGCUCUUGGUACUGAUACAACGGGAUGUGUGAGAAUUCCAGCAUCCUUUUGUGGUAUUAUUGGAUUUCGUCCAUCUCAUGGUGCUGUAUCUACAAUCGGAGUAUUGCCAAAUUCACAAAGUUUGGACACAGUUGGAUGGUUUGCACGGGAUCCAUCUGUGCUACAGGGUGUUGGUCAUGUUUUGCUUCAACUAAACUCAACAGCACCUAGAAGGGCAAGACGCUUUGUUUUUGCUGACGAUCUCUUUCAGCUUUCUAAAGUUCCUACACAGAAGACUGUAUAUGUCGUUGUCAAAGCCAUUGAAAAUUUAUCAGGCUACCAGCCUCCAAAGCAUGUAAAUGUCAGCCAGUAUAUUGCUUCAAAUGUACGCAGUUUAAAAGGAUUUCGUGAAGAAUCGACAAACCUUCAAAAUGGAACACUUACUCUGAAGGCUCUAUCUUCUGCGAUGGUUUCAUUGCAAAGAUAUGAGUUCAAAUCAAAUCAUGAGGAGUGGGUUAGAUCAGCGAAACCAAAGUUAGGACCUGAUGUGUCAGAUAGCGUUAAUGCAGCAAUCGACAUUGUACAUGAGAAUAUGAAAAUCUUGUAUAAAGUCAGGACUGAGAUGAGAGCUGCCCUACAAAGUUUUUUGAAGGAUGAUGGAAUAUUAGUGAUUCCCACAGUAGCAGACCCUCCAUUGAAGCUUGGGACAAAGAAGGGGCUUUCCUCUGAAUUCCGUAGCCGAACAUUAGCACUAACAAGCAUUGCAAGCAUGUCUGGGUGCUGUCAGGUUACCCUUCCACUGGGAAAGCACAAUGAUUAUCCUAUCUCUGUUUCAUUUAUUACAUUCCAUGGUGGAGACAAAUUUCUUCUUGACACGGUCUUGGAUAUAUACGCAUCUCUUCAAGAGCAAGUUGGCAUUGUAUCCAAUUCAUUACCGCUGCCGGAUGCCAAUGGCAAUAUGGAUGCUUCUGAACUCUUAAAGGAGAAGGGGAAUGCUGCUUUUAAGGGGAGGCAAUGGAAUAAGGCUGUGAAUUACUACACUGAAGCUAUCAAAUUAAGUGGGACUAAUGCAACUUACUACUGUAAUAGAGCAGCUGCUUACUUGGAGUUGGGAUGUUUCCAACAAGCUGAAGAGGACUGCUGUAAGGCAAUUGCACUUGACAAGAAGAAUGUGAAGGCAUAUCUGAGACGCGGAACGGCUAGAGAAUCACUUAUUUGUUAUAAAGAGGCUGCUCAAGAUCCUGCUUUCUGGUGGUCUCUGCAACUUGUCUGAAGAAAGAUCUUUUUGUCUCAAUAUGUUUUAGGCAUUAGUUGGAUUUUGUCUAGAUUUCAAGCAUGCUCUGGUUCUCGAACCGCAGAAUAAGGUUGCAAAUCUUGCUGAAAAAAGACUCAGGAAACUGAUGAGUUAAUACUCUCUUUCGACAACCAUACCCUUCUUUUUCAGCAGCAACAGAUCAUUCAAAACGAAUAUUUAACUUUUGGUUGAAUGUUGUGAAAGCCGUCUUCCAUAAUCAUUCUUCCAUAAUCAUUGUUUGGAUAAAGCAAAAGGAAAAGUAAAACAAGUGGGAUAUUGUUUAUCAGCUGCGGCAAUUUUUUUUUUUUUUGGUUCCUCUUGUGUAUAUUGUUCUGUUGUAAUUAAGCAUGUAUGAUCUAAUCAUUUUUGAGGAGCAGUUACAAACCAUUGUUUACUUUCUUACAUCAUGGUUUUAUUGCAUUAAAUAUAGUUGUUUCACAGGAAAAAGAACAAAGGAAGAAAUAAUAUCAUCGAAAAUUGAUUA